GAUCAUGGCUCAGGAUGAACGCUGGCGGCGUGCCUAACACAUGCAAGUCGAACGAAGCAUACGGACUGGAGAUUCGUCGAAGGACUGUAUGACUUAGUGGCGGACGGGUGAGUAAUGUAUGAGCAACCUGCCUUUCAGAGGGGGACAACAGUUGGAAACGACUGCUAAUACCGCGUAACGUAUUGUGAGGGCAUCCUCGUGAUACCAAAGGAGCAAUCCGCUGAAAGAUGGGCUCAUAUCUGAUUAGCUUGUUGGCGGGGUAACGGCCCACCAAGGCGACGAUCAGUAGCCGGACUGAGAGGUUGAACGGCCACAUUGGGACUGAGAUACGGCCCAGACUCCUACGGGAGGCAGCAGUGGGGAAUAUUGGGCAAUGGGCGAAAGCCUCGACCCAGCAACGCCGCGUGAAGGAAGAAGGUCUUCGGAUUGUAAACUUCUUUUAUGAGGGACGAAGGACGUGACGGUACCUCAUGAAUAAGCCACGGCUAACUACGUGCCAGCCGCCGC
This 507-nucleotide ribosomal RNA is filed under the name uncultured bacterium. RNAcentral describes it as "bacterial SSU rRNA". It matches the Rfam family "Bacterial small subunit ribosomal RNA", at positions 15 to 518 of the family's 1533-position model. The record is from RNAcentral.